Molecule: ribosomal RNA, 433 nt
Filed under: uncultured bacterium
Lineage: Bacteria
Description: partial 16S ribosomal RNA
Rfam family: Bacterial small subunit ribosomal RNA
Source: RNAcentral
AACGAACGCUGGCGGCAGGCCUAACACAUGCAAGUCGAGCGAGGACUUCGGUUCUAGCGGCGGACGGGUGAGUAACGCGUGGGAAUGUUCCCUUCUCUACGGAAUAGCCCUGGGAAACUGGGAGUAAUACCGUAUACGCCCUAUUGGGGAAAGAUUUAUCGGAGAAGGAUCAGCCCGCGUUGGAUUAGGUAGUUGGUGGGGUAAUGGCCUACCAAGCCGACGAUGCAUAGCUGGUUUGAGAGAAUGAUCAGCCACACUGGGACUAAGACACGGCCCAGACUCCUACGGGAGGGGGCAGUGGGGAAUGGUAGAAAAUGGGGGCAGCCCUGAACUAGCCAUGCCGGGUAAGUGAUGAAGGCCUUGGGGAUGUAAAGCUCUUUCAGCUGGGAAGAUAUUGACGGUACCAGCAGAAGAAGCCCCGGCUAACUCCGUG